AUUGAACGCUGGCGGCAUGCCUUACACAUGCAAGUCGAACGGCAGCAUGAUCUAGCUUGCUCGAUUGAUGGCGAGUGGCGACCGGGUGAGUAAUACAUCGGAACGUGCCCUGUAGUGGGGGAUAACUAGUCGAAAGAUUAGCUAAUACCGCAUACGACCUGAGGGUGAAAGUGGGGGACCGCAAGGCCUCAUGCUAUAGGAGCGGCCGAUGUCUGAUUAGCUAGUUGGUGAGGUAAAGGCUCACCAAGGCGACGAUCAGUAGCUGGUCUGAGAGGACGAUCAGCCACACUGGGACUGAGACACGGCCCAGACUCCUACGGGAGGCAGCAGUGGGGAAUUUUGGACAAUGGGCGAAAGCCUGAUCCAGCAAUGCCGCGUGUGUGAAGAAGGCCUUCGGGUUGUAAAGCACUUUUGUCCGGAAAGAAAUGGCUCUGGUUAAUACCUGGGGUCGAUGACGGUACCGGAAGAAUAAGGACCGGCUAACUACGUG
This 490-nucleotide ribosomal RNA is filed under the name uncultured bacterium. RNAcentral describes it as "partial 16S ribosomal RNA". It matches the Rfam family "Bacterial small subunit ribosomal RNA", at positions 30 to 507 of the family's 1533-position model. The record is from RNAcentral.